CGAUGAACCACUUCGGUGGGGAUUAGUGGCGAACGGGUGAGUAACACGUGGGCAAUCUGCCCUGCACUCUGGGACAAGCCCUGGAAACGGGGUCUAAUACCGGAUACUGAUCCGUCUGGGCAUCCAGACGGUUCGAAAGCUCCGGCGGUGCAGGAUGAGCCCGCGGCCUAUCAGCUUGUUGGUGAGGUAGUGGCUCACCAAGGCGACGACGGGUAGCCGGCCUGAGAGGGCGACCGGCCACACUGGGACUGAGACACGGCCCAGACUCCUACGGGAGGCAGCAGUGGGGAAUAUUGCACAAUGGGCGAAAGCCUGAUGCAGCGACGCCGCGUGAGGGAUGACGGCCUUCGGGUUGUAAACCUCUUUCAGCAGGGAAGAAGCGAAAGUGACGGUACCUGCAGAAGAAGCGCCGGCUAACUACGUGCCAGCAGCCGCGGUAAUACGUAGGGCGCGAGCGUUGUCCGGAAUUAUUGGGCGUAAAGAGCUCGUAGGCGGCUUGUCACGUCGGUUGUGAAAGCCCGGGGCUUAACCCCGGGUCUGCAGUCGAUACGGGCAGGCUAGAGUUCGGUAGGGGAGAUCGGAAUUCCUGGUGUAGCGGUGAAAUGCGCAGAUAUCAGGAGGAACACCGGUGGCGAAGGCGGAUCUCUGGGCCGAUACUGACGCUGAGGAGCGAAAGCGUGGGGAGCGAACAGGAUUAGAUACCCUGGUAGUCCACGCCGUAAACGGUGGGCACUAGGUGUGGGCAACAUUCCACGUUGUCCGUGCCGCAGCUAACGCAUUAAGUGCCCCG
Molecule: ribosomal RNA, 790 nt
Filed under: Streptomyces sp.
Lineage: Bacteria; Bacillati; Actinomycetota; Actinomycetes; Kitasatosporales; Streptomycetaceae
Description: bacterial SSU rRNA
Rfam family: Bacterial small subunit ribosomal RNA
Source: RNAcentral